RNAcentral lists this ribosomal RNA (497 nucleotides) under uncultured bacterium. Its description in RNAcentral is "partial 16S ribosomal RNA". It matches the Rfam family "Bacterial small subunit ribosomal RNA", at positions 28 to 507 of the family's 1533-position model. The record is from RNAcentral.
GAUGAACGCUGGCGGCGUGCCUAAUACAUGCAAGUCGAGCGAACAGACGAGGAGCUUGCUCCUCUGAUGUUAGCGGCGGACGGGUGAGUAACACGUGGAUAACCUACCUAUAAGACUGGGAUAACUUCGGGAAACCGGAGCUAAUACCGGAUAACAUGUUGAACCGCAUGGUUCAACAGUGAAAGACGGUCUUGCUGUCACUUAUAGAUGGAUCCGCGCCGCAUUAGCUAGUUGGUAAGGUAACGGCUUACCAAGGCAACGAUGCGUAGCCGACCUGAGAGGUGGAUCGGCCACACUGGAACUGAGACACGGUCCAGACUCCUACGGGAGGCAGCAGUAGGGAAUCUUCCGCAAUGGGCGAAAGCCUGACGGAGCAACGCCGCGUGAGUGAAGAAGGUCUUCGGAUCGUAAAACUCUGUUAUUAGGGAAGAACAAAUGUGUAAGUAACUAUGCACGUCUUGACGGUACCUAAUCAGAAAGCCACGGCUAACUACGUG